RNAcentral lists this ribosomal RNA (623 nucleotides) under Sphingomonas sp. F23. RNAcentral's name for it is "bacterial SSU rRNA". It matches the Rfam family "Bacterial small subunit ribosomal RNA", at positions 87 to 745 of the family's 1533-position model. RNAcentral also lists the same sequence under 1 other name. Lineage: Bacteria; Pseudomonadati; Pseudomonadota; Alphaproteobacteria; Sphingomonadales; Sphingomonadaceae. The record is from RNAcentral.
CGGACUUAGUGGCGCACGGGUGCGUAACGCGUGGGAAUCUGCCCCUUGCUUCGGAAUAACAGUUAGAAAUGACUGCUAAUACCGGAUGAUGUCUUCGGACCAAAGAUUUAUCGGCAAGGGAUGAGCCCGCGUAGGAUUAGGUAGUUGGUGGGGUAAAGGCCUACCAAGCCGACGAUCCUUAGCUGGUCUGAGAGGAUGAUCAGCCACACUGGGACUGAGACACGGCCCAGACUCCUACGGGAGGCAGCAGUGGGGAAUAUUGGACAAUGGGCGAAAGCCUGAUCCAGCAAUGCCGCGUGAGUGAUGAAGGCCUUAGGGUUGUAAAGCUCUUUUACCAGGGAUGAUAAUGACAGUACCUGGAGAAUAAGCUCCGGCUAACUCCGUGCCAGCAGCCGCGGUAAUACGGAGGGAGCUAGCGUUGUUCGGAAUUACUGGGCGUAAAGCGCACGUAGGCGGUACAUCAAGUCAGGGGUGAAAGCCCGGAGCUCAACUCCGGAACUGCCCUUGAAACUAGUGUGCUAGAAUCUUGGAGAGGCGGGUGGAAUUCCGAGUGUAGAGGUGAAAUUCGUAGAUAUUCGGAAGAACACCAGUGGCGAAGGCGGCCCGCUGGACAAGUAUUGACG